Molecule: ribosomal RNA, 1372 nt
Filed under: uncultured bacterium
Lineage: Bacteria
Description: bacterial SSU rRNA
Rfam family: Bacterial small subunit ribosomal RNA
Source: RNAcentral
GAUGAACGCUGGCGGCGUGCCUAAUACAUGCAAGUCGAGCGAACGGACGAGAAGCUUGCUUCUCUGAUGUUGGCGGCGGACGGGUGAGUAACACGUGGAUAACCUACCUAUAAGACUGGGAUAACUUCGGGAAACCGGAGCUAAUACCAGAUAAUAUUUUGAACCGCAUGGUUCAAAAGUGAAAGACGGUCUUGCUGUCACUUAUAGAUGGAUCCGCGCUGCAUUAGCUAGUUGGUAAGGUAACGGCUUACCAAGGCAACGAUGCAUAGCCGACCUGAGAGGGUGAUCGGCCACACUGGAACUGAGACACGGUCCAGACUCCUACGGGAGGCAGCAGUAGGGAAUCUUCCGCAAUGGGCGAAAGCCUGACGGAGCAACGCCGCGUGAGUGAUGAAGGUCUUCGGAUCGUAAAACUCUGUUAUUAGGGAAGAACAUAUGUGUAAGUAACUGUGCACAUCUUGACGGUACCUAAUCAGAAAGCCACGGCUAACUACGUGCCAGCAGCCGCGGUAAUACGUAGGUGGCAAGCGUUAUCCGGAAUUAUUGGGCGUAAAGCGCGCGUAGGCGGUUUUUUAAGUCUGAUGUGAAAGCCCACGGCUCAACCGUGGAGGGUCAUUGGAAACUGGAAAACUUGAGUGCAGAAGAGGAAAGUGGAAUUCCAUGUGUAGCGGUGAAAUGCGCAGAGAUAUGGAGGAACACCAGUGGCGAAGGCGACUUUCUGGUCUGUAACUGACGCUGAUGUGCGAAAGCGUGGGGAUCAAACAGGAUUAGAUACCCUGGUAGUCCACGCCGUAAACGAUGAGUGCUAAGUGUUAGGGGGUUUCCGCCCCUUAGUGCUGCAGCUAACGCAUUAAGCACUCCGCCUGGGGAGUACGACCGCAAGGUUGAAACUCAAAGGAAUUGACGGGGACCCGCACAAGCGGUGGAGCAUGUGGUUUAAUUCGAAGCAACGCGAAGAACCUUACCAAAUCUUGACAUCCUUUGACAACUCUAGAGAUAGAGCCUUCCCCUUCGGGGGACAAAGUGACAGGUGGUGCAUGGUUGUCGUCAGCUCGUGUCGUGAGAUGUUGGGUUAAGUCCCGCAACGAGCGCAACCCUUAAGCUUAGUUGCCAUCAUUAAGUUGGGCACUCUAAGUUGACUGCCGGUGACAAACCGGAGGAAGGUGGGGAUGACGUCAAAUCAUCAUGCCCCUUAUGAUUUGGGCUACACACGUGCUACAAUGGACAAUACAAAGGGCAGCGAAACCGCGAGGUCAAGCAAAUCCCAUAAAGUUGUUCUCAGUUCGGAUUGUAGUCUGCAACUCGACUACAUGAAGCUAGAAUCGCUAGUAAUCGUAGAUCAGCAUGCUACGGUGAACAUAAACGCGGGUCU